AACAAGCUCUAGAGCUGUCAUAGGUGUGGUUUGAUGGUAGAUCUAGACAAUCAUAUUUCCAACUUUAAUGAUUCUAUGAUUACAAUAUAUACAAUUUUUCCUCUGUGUAUUUUCAAUUUAUAUACCAACUACGUGUUGAUUCUUGAAGUGUAUCCACAAUUUCUCGUAACAGGGCACAUUAUUCAAGUUCAUUCUAAUUCAUCCAGUUGUGACUUUUUAACAUAAUGGAGCUAUUCAUACUAGGGAACCACACUCUAAGCUGGAUCUCAAGUAAAUACACCGACUCAGCUAAUGUGAAUGUCAGUAUUUUGCUGAAACUUUUUAAUAGAAUUUCGUCUGGGCAAAUCCUUCAUCACAGUUUCAUCAGCCUUUUGGGAAAAGCAGAGAUUACUCUGGGAUGUUUAAACCCACCCAGCUGGAGCAUGGCAGCAACAUAUGGCAUCAAGCUUUUCAGAGAUCCGGAGAAGUUCUGGAAAGCAGCAGUCUCUUCUGACACUGGAUGGGAUCAGCUUGCAUCAUUACACAGGAGAGAAGUGUAG
Molecule: long non-coding RNA, 539 nt
Filed under: Meleagris gallopavo (turkey)
Lineage: Eukaryota; Metazoa; Chordata; Aves; Galliformes; Phasianidae
Description: lncRNA (ENSMGAG00000021649.1)
Source: RNAcentral